RNAcentral lists this long non-coding RNA (439 nucleotides) under Androctonus crassicauda. Lineage: Eukaryota; Metazoa; Arthropoda; Arachnida; Scorpiones; Buthidae. The record is from RNAcentral.
CGGCAAAUUUGACAGCUUAGUCCACAAGAUCCACACCAAGCAUCUUAAAAUAUGCAAUGCAUUACGCGCUCCUGUCGAUGCUACCACAUCCUACCAGAAAGCUCCGACCAAGCAUUUCCUAUCCAUCCCAUGGCACACUAUGUGCUGUGGGGUUAUUAAUAUAAUUAAGACAAAACAUGAUUAUCACAUAUCUGAAAGGAGAAAUGCUACAAUGUUCCAAAAAAUAUGCAAUGACAAGGAAGCUAGGCCUAAUACCGAGAGGUGUGGGGUAUAUGAGAUACCAUUAGUCAAUUCCAUAACUAGCACAGUAAGCUAUUACAUUGGAAUAACCAGACAAUGCCUGAAAUAAUGUAUGCAGCAACACAUAAUAUGACAUACGAAACAAUAGGGAAAAUACAGCUCUAAUACAAGUGGCCUACUCAAAGGACUGGUCUGUUAU